This 329-nucleotide ribosomal RNA is filed under the name uncultured eukaryote. RNAcentral describes it as "partial 18S ribosomal RNA". It matches the Rfam family "Eukaryotic small subunit ribosomal RNA", at positions 1470 to 1796 of the family's 1831-position model. The record is from RNAcentral.
CCCUUAGAUGUUCUGGGCCGCACGCGCGCUACACUGAUGCGUUCAACGAGUCUAAAACCUGCUCUGAUAGGGGUGGGUAAUCUUUUGAAUGUGCAUCGUGAUUGGGAUAGAUGAUUGCAAUUUUUCAUCUUCAACGAGGAAUGCCUAGUAAACGCAAGUCAUCAGCUUGCAUUGAUUACGUCCCUGCCCUUUGUACACACCGCCCGUCGCUCCUACCGAUUGAAUGAUCCGAUGAAUAUCAUGGAUUGAGGAUGCAAGUAGGUUCGCCUAUCUUCAUCUUCGAGAAGUGAAGUAAAUCUUAUCAUUUAGAGGAAGGAGAAGUCGUAACA